This is a small nucleolar RNA of Suncus etruscus (white-toothed pygmy shrew), 133 nucleotides long. RefSeq annotates it as small nucleolar RNA SNORA42/SNORA80 family. The record is from RefSeq and is a predicted model, not a curated record. The transcript has a single exon. Lineage: Eukaryota; Metazoa; Chordata; Mammalia; Eulipotyphla; Soricidae.
GCAUGAAUUUGGAUUUAUGGCAGGCCCAUCAGCCUGGGUCUGUCAUAGUGCCCCAUGCCAUAGCCAGCUGCAGCCCCAAACUAUUGCCUGGCCCUGCCAUUGGUCUCUGGACACUGAAGCGGGUCGCAUAUUU